Molecule: ribosomal RNA, 227 nt
Filed under: uncultured Actinomycetales bacterium
Lineage: Bacteria; Bacillati; Actinomycetota; Actinomycetes; Actinomycetales
Description: partial 16S ribosomal RNA
Rfam family: Bacterial small subunit ribosomal RNA
Source: RNAcentral
UAGUGAGUAACACGUGGGUGAUCUGCCCUGCACUUCGGGAUAAGCUUGGGAAACUGGGUCUAAUACCGGAUAGGAACCAUCUUUAGUGUGGUGGUUGGAAAGUUUUUUCGGUGUAGGAUGAGCUCGCGGCCUAUCAGCUUGUUGGUGGGGUAAUGGCCUACCAAGGCGGCGACGGGUAGCCGGCCUGAGAGGGUGUACGGCCACAUUGGGACUGAGAUACGGCCCAG